CUUUGAGCUCAGGAUAUCCUCCUCCGUGUUUCCUUUCAUAUUUAGAUCUACAAUCUGUCUGGAAUUGAUUGUUGUGUUUCAUGUGAGGCAGAGUCCAACAUCUCGAUGGUUCCAUGUGGAUGGCUGGUCGGAAAAGUCAUUGCUCCCCCUUGCUCUCUAGUGAUGCCUGUGCUGUGGAUCAGGCAUCGUUAUGCCCACGUGUGUGGGUUUGCCUCUGGGCUCCCUGUGGUGUCCCCGUGGCCUGUGUGUCUUUCCUGUAUAAAGCAUGCCCCCUUAAUUACUCUGGCUUUGUGAAUAACUCCUGAUACCCAGUUGUGAAAAGUACCUGACUUUGUUCUUCUUUGUGUUAGUCUUGGCUCUUUGGUUCUCCAUGUUAGAUAUUUUAGAUUUAUCUUGUAAAUUUCCACCGAAACAAAAACUUGAUGGGACUUUGAUUGUGAUUACAAUGCCUAGAUCAGUUUUUGUUUUUGUUUGUUUCUUUUCCUGGGCAACAACCCUAUGGAGUAGAUUCCGUUGUUUACCUCUGUGACAGAUGCACUUCUUUGUAGCUGGGACACAGGGAAUGAUGUAAGCAGCUUAAUCUGUCACCCUCAAUGCCAGCAUCCCACAUCAGUGAUCCAGUUCGAGUUCCAGCCCCACCUACUUUGAUUCUCCUAAGAAAGACUUCAGCUUGAGAGUGGGUGACGCAGGUAGGCAAGUACCGUGGCCUCUGUGUGUUGGCCCCAAAAUGGCCCUCUUGUGUUGGCCCUCAGUGGUUUAUUUCUUGGCUACAGACAAAGACCUGCUAGGUCAAAAGCCCAAGGAACCAAAUUCACUUUUCCCCACUUCCAGUUGUUUAAAAAAAUAACUGCCCAAACCAACAGAUGUUUAGUCUCUUAGAGCCUAUACUGGGAAAAUUCAGCUACAACCUCCUGCUAGACAGGGCCUUGAGGUCUAAGGCUCCAAAUCACUGCUGCCCAUUGAACUUUCUCAGAGACCCCUGGUGUGCCUCUGUGCACCGUCAUCUGGACUGCGGAGCCCCCCAUGACUGAUCCCACUCUCCCAGGAGUUCCCUCACCCUCUUUCCCUCUGGCUCACGGCCCCUGGGCAGUCAGCUGUGGAUGGCCUCAUGCUGGGAGGAGUUUCCUUCUUAGACAGUGCUCCCACCUCUGGUUCUAUCUUUUCCUUUCAUCAGCCCUGCAGGGUGGUGUCUGAAGCAGAUAAAUGGAGCUGUGACUUAGCUGCUGAAGUGCUGUACUUCAGGUUUCCUUCCUGACCUUGUCUUUGACCCUUCAUGGAGAUACUGGGAACUUCUUGCUACCAUUUUUCAAAUGUUCUUUUAAAUUCAAACUUAGUAGAGGUGCUUUGAUUAUUGAAACAAAGGAUACUCAUACAUAGUUGCUGUUAUUAUUAGCUUACACCUCCCCCGUUCUGUUUAGAGCUGUCCACCAGCCCAGACUUUCAGAAAACCAAAUCUUGCCCAUUCUACACCUGCAAGACACCUGCUCAUCUGGAGCCAAGGAUUAGACAAAGAGCAAUUAGGACUUCAUUGUGAAGCUGGAUGGGAAUGAAUGGUGUCUCAGUAACCCCGAGUUAGGAAUGACUCCCUGGGUCAGGAGCCCUCUGACUACCCUCUGUUAGGCGAUUGUUUCCAGACACCAUGCAGAAGGAUCCAGCAUGCUGCUUGUUAAAGGAUCAAUAAAUCAUGCUGUGGAUGUGAGAAAAUAGCAAGACCUUAGCCAAAAUGGCAUCCUAGUCUGAGGUACCAUUAGUAAUGCCGUAAUUUGCAAUCAUAAUAAAAAUAAAAGUAAUAGGAAAACCACGUAGAGGCAGUUCCACUGCCUACUGGAUUUUUAAUUUUCUUGAGGAUGCCAGAGGCAAUCUUGAGCCCAUUAUGUCUAAAUGAGGCACAUUAUAAAAGGCUUGCAAAGUCCAGACUGCUUUUAUAGCCAUUAAUUAGCCAGACUUCUAAAUAGGCCCAUAAGACUAAGCGUGGGUACGUCUCUGGACUCCAUUGGGGGCUGGAGUGCUCAGAGAAGUCAAGUAUCAGCUGUUUAGUUGUGAUUGUUCCGCCCUUCUCUCUCAUCCUGCUUCUAAUCAGAUGUCGCCUUUUUGAGGAGUGAACGAGGGAGGAUGCUACCAGACCAAGCCCCUAAUGAGAAUGCUUCGAACGUCCCUCCAAGGGUGUGGGUGUGCAUGCAAGCUGACCCUGUGCCCUAAGUGUCCUCUCAUCAGGGUGAUUUACUCCAGAUGCGAUUUGGAAGAGCAAGAAUCAGUUAUUUUGAGCAACCUGCUCAAAGAAGCCAUCACACAUUAAAUGACAACAGAGCAAACAUUGUUUCCAUUUACUCUGCAUCAGCAGCCCUCAAGGACGGAGUCUGGCACGCAAACGUCUACGACUGUUGAAUGAAUGAACCCUGAGGCAAACAAACCCCACAGCAAUCCCGUCACCACUGAGAGGAAUAACGUCAAGAUUUUAGAAGCACGUGAGCUGAAGCAAAGGCUACCCUUUCCCGUCUGCACAAUCUUGCUUGUGCCUGUGGACGUGGUGCAACGUUCUCUCCUUGAAAUCAAGUUAAAUUUCACUUUGGAUUUUCAGUUUUUGGCAGCCCAGUCAUUAUUCACUCACCGGGUAGUUUGCAUUUGUCUGAUUUGCAGCAUCUGGGCUAAUAUCUUUGGGGUUUUGCUGUAUAUAUGCAUCUCUU
Non-coding RNA from Oryctolagus cuniculus (rabbit), 2684 nucleotides. NCBI's taxonomy places the organism in Eukaryota, Metazoa, Chordata, Mammalia, Lagomorpha, Leporidae. The record is from RefSeq and is a predicted model, not a curated record.